UUAAGCGACUAAGCGUACACGGUGGAUGCCCUGGCAGUCAGAGGCGAUGAAGGACGUGCUAAUCUGCGAUAAGCGUCGGUAAGGUGAUAUGAACCGUUAUAACCGGCGAUUUCCGAAUGGGGAAACCCAGUGUGUUUCGACACACUAUCAUUAACUGAAUCCAUAGGUUAAUGAGGCGAACCGGGGGAACUGAAACAUCUAAGUACCCCGAGGAAAAGAAAUCAACCGAGAUUCCCCCAGUAGCGGCGAGCGAACGGGGAGCAGCCCAGAGCCUGAAUCAGUGUGUGUGUUAGUGGAAGCGUCUGGAAAGGCGCGCGAUACAGGGUGACAGCCCCGUACACAAAAAUGCACAUGCUGUGAGCUCGAUGAGUAGGGCGGGACACGUGGUAUCCUGUCUGAAUAUGGGGGGACCAUCCUCCAAGGCUAAAUACUCCUGACUGACCGAUAGUGAACCAGUACCGUGAGGGAAAGGCGAAAAGAACCCCGGCGAGGGGAGUGAAAAAGAACCUGAAACCGUGUACGUACAAGCAGUGGGAGCCUCUUUAUGGGGUGACUGCGUACCUUUUGUAUAAUGGGUCAGCGACUUAUAUUCUGUAGCAAGGUUAACCGAAUAGGGGAGCCGAAGGGAAACCGAGUCUUAACUGGGCGUUAAGUUGCAGGGUAUAGACCCGAAACCCGGUGAUCUAGCCAUGGGCAGGUUGAAGGUUGGGUAACACUAACUGGAGGACCGAACCGACUAAUGUUGAAAAAUUAGCGGAUGACUUGUGGCUGGGGGUGAAAGGCCAAUCAAACCGGGAGAUAGCUGGUUCUCCCCGAAAGCUAUUUAGGUAGCGCCUCGUGAAUUCAUCUCCGGGGGUAGAGCACUGUUUCGGCAAGGGGGUCAUCCCGACUUACCAACCCGAUGCAAACUGCGAAUACCGGAGAAUGUUAUCACGGGAGACACACGGCGGGUGCUAACGUCCGUCGUGAAGAGGGAAACAACCCAGACCGCCAGCUAAGGUCCCAAAGUCAUGGUUAAGUGGGAAACGAUGUGGGAAGGCCCAGACAGCCAGGAUGUUGGCUUAGAAGCAGCCAUCAUUUAAAGAAAGCGUAAUAGCUCACUGGUCGAGUCGGCCUGCGCGGAAGAUGUAACGGGGCUAAACCAUGCACCGAAGCUGCGGCAGCGACGCUUAUGCGUUGUUGGGUAGGGGAGCGUUCUGUAAGCCUGCGAAGGUGUGCUGUGAGGCAUGCUGGAGGUAUCAGAAGUGCGAAUGCUGACAUAAGUAACGAUAAAGCGGGUGAAAAGCCCGCUCGCCGGAAGACCAAGGGUUCCUGUCCAACGUUAAUCGGGGCAGGGUGAGUCGACCCCUAAGGCGAGGCCGAAAGGCGUAGUCGAUGGGAAACAGGUUAAUAUUCCUGUACUUGGUGUUACUGCGAAGGGGGGACGGAGAAGGCUAUGUUGGCCGGGCGACGGUUGUCCCGGUUUAAGCGUGUAGGCUGGUUUUCCAGGCAAAUCCGGAAAAUCAAGGCUGAGGCGUGAUGACGAGGCACUACGGUGCUGAAGCAACAAAUGCCCUGCUUCCAGGAAAAGCCUCUAAGCAUCAGGUAACAUCAAAUCGUACCCCAAACCGACACAGGUGGUCAGGUAGAGAAUACCAAGGCGCUUGAGAGAACUCGGGUGAAGGAACUAGGCAAAAUGGUGCCGUAACUUCGGGAGAAGGCACGCUGAUAUGUAGGUGAAGCGACUUGCUCGUGGAGCUGAAAUCAGUCGAAGAUACCAGCUGGCUGCAACUGUUUAUUAAAAACACAGCACUGUGCAAACACGAAAGUGGACGUAUACGGUGUGACGCCUGCCCGGUGCCGGAAGGUUAAUUGAUGGGGUUAGCGGUAACGCGAAGCUCUUGAUCGAAGCCCCGGUAAACGGCGGCCGUAACUAUAACGGUCCUAAGGUAGCGAAAUUCCUUGUCGGGUAAGUUCCGACCUGCACGAAUGGCGUAAUGAUGGCCAGGCUGUCUCCACCCGAGACUCAGUGAAAUUGAACUCGCUGUGAAGAUGCAGUGUACCCGCGGCAAGACGGAAAGACCCCGUGAACCUUUACUAUAGCUUGACACUGAACAUUGAGCCUUGAUGUGUAGGAUAGGUGGGAGGCUUUGAAGUGUGGACGCCAGUCUGCAUGGAGCCGACCUUGAAAUACCACCCUUUAAUGUUUGAUGUUCUAACGUUGGCCCCUAAUCGGGGUUGCGGACAGUGUCUGGUGGGUAGUUUGACUGGGGCGGUCUCCUCCUAAAGAGUAACGGAGGAGCACGAAGGUUGGCUAAUCCUGGUCGGACAUCAGGAGGUUAGUGCAAUGGCAUAAGCCAGCUUGACUGCGAGCGUGACGGCGCGAGCAGGUGCGAAAGCAGGUCAUAGUGAUCCGGUGGUUCUGAAUGGAAGGGCCAUCGCUCAACGGAUAAAAGGUACUCCGGGGAUAACAGGCUGAUACCGCCCAAGAGUUCAUAUCGACGGCGGUGUUUGGCACCUCGAUGUCGGCUCAUCACAUCCUGGGGCUGAAGUAGGUCCCAAGGGUAUGGCUGUUCGCCAUUUAAAGUGGUACGCGAGCUGGGUUUAGAACGUCGUGAGACAGUUCGGUCCCUAUCUGCCGUGGGCGCUGGAGAACUGAGGGGGGCUGCUCCUAGUACGAGAGGACCGGAGUGGACGCAUCACUGGUGUUCGGGUUGUCAUGCCAAUGGCACUGCCCGGUAGCUAAAUGCGGAAGAGAUAAGUGCUGAAAGCAUCUAAGCACGAAACUUGCCCCGAGAUGAGUUCUCCCUGACUCCUUGAGAGUCCUGAAGGAACGUUGAAGACGACGACGUUGAUAGGCCGGGUGUGUAAGCGCAGCGAUGCGUUGAGCUAACCGGUACUAAUGAACCGUGAGGCUUAACCUU
RNAcentral lists this ribosomal RNA (2903 nucleotides) under Escherichia coli HVH 43 (4-2173468). Its description in RNAcentral is "bacterial LSU rRNA". It matches the Rfam family "Bacterial large subunit ribosomal RNA". Lineage: Bacteria; Pseudomonadati; Pseudomonadota; Gammaproteobacteria; Enterobacterales; Enterobacteriaceae. RNAcentral also lists the same sequence under 1 other name. The record is from RNAcentral.